UCAAAAGCUGGCAGUCGUAAACAGAAAUUAACGACCUUCUCUGUGAGAAGGUCGUAGAAUUCCACGACCAAAACAAAAGGUCAUUGAUUCUAUGACCUUCUGUUUUGGUCGCUACCUCUCUGCCCAGGCCACGUCGGAUCCGACGUGGCAAUCUGAUGUGGCGAAAUUGCGACCAAUUGAAAAGGUCGUUGAUAAGAUUCAGCCCGGUCCGAUUAGAUGUCUAUAUGGGCCGAGCCCAACAAUUUAGCCCAUUUAAUGUAUUUUUUUCUUGUUAAUUUUCACUAGCUACAUGGGCCUGGCCCAUUUUAUUUUCUAGGAUAUUGCCUUCUAUAAUUCAUUUCUUUUUUGGGCCUCGGCCCUUUUACAGUCCAAUCUAUUUUGGGCCUCCACAACAUACAUUUAGAAGCUUGACAUCUCAACAUGUACAAAUGUAUCCAAACCAUUUUAUUUCUUUCAACACAAAAGGAUUCAUUACACAGCCACGAUAAUAGAUAGUGGAUACAUUUGACAGAGACUGAAUUAACAUAGAAAUGAAGCAACAAAUGGCAGUCCGAGAAAAGGAACUACAUGGGACUACAACAACAUGGGACUAUAGCUACCAUUUCUAUUUCUACCAGCAUUUAUAGACGCUUGCAAGAGAGGGAGAGAGAUCAUCCAUCAUCAAUCAGUGACAGUAGCGACGUUCGAGAGACCCCCUCCCCCUGCUGCUGCUGCUUCGGGUGCCUGCUACUGCUUGCUGUGCCGCAUCACUAGUCGCCCUGCACACAAGAAUUUUAGCUUUACAUAAGGUUUACAAGAACAGGACCCUGAUACAUGAGAUUGACAUUGACAAGUUAUUUGCAUUUUUAUUAAGAACUGUGUCACACCAUUUACAUUACUAGUUAUGUAUUGACAUACUUAUCUAAAAGAACAUAUACAGAAACAUAUGAAUUUUAUUUCUGAAUACCAAUACAGAAGUACUAAAAAAACAAGACUAAAAAUCAGUAGAAGGUAACAAGAGCUCAUUACACAAGUUUUGCUAGCAAUUAGGGGACCCUGGUUCCUGUACUGACCACAUUGGGGCAUAUCCUACCCUACCAGUGGCUAAAUAAUGCAACUUUAUGACUGUCAAGUAGGCCUACAGAUCGAUGAUGGAGCAGACUCAAACAUUACAAACACAACAGCUGAUGACGCCAUGGAGCACGAUCUGAAUGUUGUUCCUCGUUUAUUAAACUUAAGGACAAGAAAAGCACUCAGGUUGCAUCUUUCGCAGACACGACAACAUACAUGAGCCAAAUUAACAAACAAGAGGUGCAGAUCUGGAACCAGUCGUCAUCAUCAAAUGAAGUGUUUCAUCACCGUGCACUGAUUGAAGGGCACAUGCUAACCUAUACCAAUGUUGAUGACCCCCACAAACAGACCACCAUGGCUCAACACACUGACCGGCUAGAGUCUUACCUUUGUUUUAGCCAUGGACGCUAGCUGUUGAGCAGAGCAGAGCAGCGGGAGGAGGACUGCCGCAGCAAGAAGAGGAGGUUCCUUGACUUGACGACCACCAGAUGUACAUCAUGCCUGCCCAGAGUAAAUAGAAGGAGAACGAGUGAGACAAUGCAGCGGGGAGAGACAGUGAAGAUAGUUCUUGAAGGUCAGAAGAUAAUACACCAAAUGUGCAUGAAAGACAAUACAGUAAACACCAUCUUG
This 1680-nucleotide long non-coding RNA is filed under the name Triticum aestivum (bread wheat). RNAcentral describes it as "long non-coding RNA (TAES_LNC008799)". Lineage: Eukaryota; Viridiplantae; Streptophyta; Magnoliopsida; Poales; Poaceae. The record is from RNAcentral.